CCCGGAUAAAAUUGGAAGGAGACAGAGAAGAUUAGCAAGGCCCUUGUGCAAAGAUGACGCACAAACCGAGAAGUGUACCAAUCGCCA
This 87-nucleotide small nuclear RNA is filed under the name Symbiodinium microadriaticum. The record is from RNAcentral. Lineage: Eukaryota; Dinophyceae; Suessiales; Symbiodiniaceae.